CUCGCACACAAACGCAUGACUGCAGAUGUGUUACUAAUACACACCCAGUGUUUGUUAGAACUCUUAUGUUGCAUGAACGUCCCGAGCGGUUGACAGAAUUCCAGCUAAUUUCUCCAGUAAGAUUCUCAUCUGUACUUUUUUAUAUCUGAUCUCGGGACAUUGACUAACCCAUUGAAACGCGUCUGUUUAAAAUGUGAUUGCGCGCUGUACUUGCCCAACCUGGGUCACCAUGUAAUCUGUCUCCUCAGACAUGAAUGAUUUUGCCUGAUGGAUUUAAUGGAAUGAUGAACAGCUCAUGUCCGGAUUAGAGCUGAAACUCCUCCACCCUUUGGACAAAGAGGGAGAGAGGGGGAGGUCACAUGACUUGAAUGACACCAGCUUUAAGUCUUAUAUGCACAACUGCAAAGGUUAAGUAACCGUGUAUGAUGUCAGCGGUAGUCUUGUGUCGAACAAAUAGACCACAUGCUUUUGAUUGACCCCACUUUCAGCCACCACACAACAGCACACACUGUAUACAAAAAGUUUGGGGUCAAUAGAAUGUUUAUUUUUUUCAAAGAAAUUAACUUUUUUUCAGCAAGGAUGCAUUAAAUUGAUCAAAAGUGACCGUAAAGACAUUUAUAAUGUUACAAAAGAUUUCUAUUUCAAGUAAUUGCUGUUCUUUUGAACUUUCUAUUCAAAGAGUCAUGAAAAAAUGCAUCAAUGUUUCCAUAAAAAUUAUUAAGCAGCACAACAUUGAUAAUCAGAAAUGUUUCUUGAGCACCAAAUCAUCACAGGAAUAAAUGACAUUUUAAAAUAUAUUAAAAUAGAAAACAGGUUAAUUCAAAAUUGUAAUAUUUCACAAUAUUACUGUAUUUUUGAUUAAAUAAACGCAGCCUUAUUGAGUAUAAGACUUUUCAAAAACAUUAAAAAACUUAGAGACCCCAAACUUUUGAAUAGAAGUGUACUUUACCGCUAUUAGAAGUACAGGAAAUGACUUGUUUGCUGAUGGUUGAACUGGGUUGCGUUGUCAUUUACCAGAAUCUUCCUCUGUUCAGCGUGCGUGAAGACCAGACAGACCUCACUCUACAGUGAUGGAUGGGGGUUUGGAAAAAUAUACUGUCUCAUCAUUUAAUCAUUUUUUGGCUAAGUUCAUAAGCAGCAAAAAUCCAAAUGAUUAUUUAUUUAUUUAUUUAUUUAUUAUUUAUUUUUUACCAAUUUAGAGCUGUUUAGCGGCUUGUAUAAUGCAAAAAAAAAAAAAAAAAAGUUUAUUUAAUAAUAAAUCUAAUCUUUACGAAGGCAUCAAUGUGUAAAAUUUAACAUCUGGAUAUUGCAUUUCAUUUUUUUUAAUUUUUUUUAUUAUUCACAAUGUGAAAAACUGAUGUAUGUGAUGCAAUGUCUUAGGAGUCUAAUUUCAUUACUUACAAAAUGACAAUGUAGUCUUAAAAGUCUUUAUGAAACAUUAAUUGGAAAUGGGUGCAGUGUAAACAAAGCCUUUGUGUAUAGAUUUUCAUUUUUGCUUGUAAAAAUACUAUUGAAAAUGUAAACCGGUAUUACCCCAUGGUUAAUGGUGUUUUUGAUGUCAGACUUGAUUAGAAGGGCAGCACUGGUAUUACAGUCUCUUCAGUUUGCCUCUUUUGUAUGACUUGAGGUCAGUUGAGGGUGUUUUCAUUUAGAACUGAAAAUCAUGUGACACUGAAGUGAGGCUUAUAUCAAGCAGACAGUGUGGUCAAUAUCCUUUUCCUCUUUUCUCUGUCUUUAGGUAAAUGGUGUUGCCACUGAUGGUGAGGCAGAGACAUCUCAGACAUCACCCAAGCGAAGGCCAAUUAUCUUCAGCCUCAAUAAUGCCGUAGCCAAACCUUCAAACAGCCCAACGCUUCACGACAGUAAGGUAACAUCAAGAGCCGACAGCGUGGCGGACAGGAAGCCAUAUGGGCAGUGGGUCCCCAUCAGCAAAUCCUCUUCUAAAAAUAAACACUGAGAUUCAACAAUGGUGUAAAAAGACUGUAAAUACUGUAAAUAGUUUGUGUAGUGAUCACUUGGGUGGGGGUGGGUGAGUAGGGAGCAUCUGAAUUCUUCAUAAAUGUUUUCUUUCAGAUAUAAAGUGGGUUUUAUUGGAAGAAGGCAAGAGGAUGUCAAACAGGUGGGAAAUAUUGUGUACAUAUUGGUAUUUUUGUGCUGUAUAGUGGAUGUUUCUGAAUAAAGAACAACAAAAAAAAUAA
This is an RNA transcript of Ctenopharyngodon idella (grass carp), 2198 nucleotides long. It is a transcript of the gene named arginine/serine-rich protein 1, with no coding region annotated. The record is from RefSeq and is a predicted model, not a curated record. The transcript is spliced from 3 exons. Lineage: Eukaryota; Metazoa; Chordata; Actinopteri; Cypriniformes; Xenocyprididae.